This 73-nucleotide transfer RNA is filed under the name Danaus plexippus plexippus. It matches the Rfam family "tRNA". Rfam says of the family: Transfer RNA (tRNA) molecules are approximately 80 nucleotides in length. Their secondary structure includes four short double-helical elements and three loops (D, anti-codon, and T loops). Further hydrogen bonds mediate the characteristic L-shaped molecular structure. tRNAs have two regions of fundamental functional importance: the anti-codon, which is responsible for specific mRNA codon recognition, and the 3' end, to which the tRNAs corresponding amino acid is attached (by aminoacyl-tRNA synthetases). tRNAs cope with the degeneracy of the genetic code in two manners: having more than one tRNA (with a specific anti-codon) for a particular amino acid; and 'wobble' base-pairing, i.e. permitting non-standard base-pairing at the 3rd anti-codon position. The record is from Rfam by way of RNAcentral. Lineage: Eukaryota; Metazoa; Arthropoda; Insecta; Lepidoptera; Nymphalidae.
GCCUCGUUAGUGCAGUAGAGAGCCAGUAAGUCUCAUAAUCUUAAGGUCGUGAGUUCGAUCCUCACCGGGGGCA